CAUAGCCACGGUAAUACGAAGGGUGCAAGCGUUACUCGGAAUUACUGGGCGUAAAGCGUGCGUAGGUGGUGGUUUAAGUCCGUUGUGAAAGCCCUGGGCUCAACCUGGGAAUUGCAGUGGAUACUGGGUCACUAGAGUGUGGUAGAGGAUAGUGGAAUUUCCGGUGUAGCAGUGAAAUGCGUAGAGAUCGGAAGGAACAUCUGUGGCGAAGGCGACUAUCUGGGCCAACACUGACACUGAGGCACGAAAGCGUGGGGAGCAAACAGGAUUAGAUACCCCUGUAGUCCCUGUCUCUUUACAC
Molecule: ribosomal RNA, 301 nt
Filed under: uncultured bacterium
Lineage: Bacteria
Description: partial 16S ribosomal RNA
Rfam family: Bacterial small subunit ribosomal RNA
Source: RNAcentral